RNAcentral lists this ribosomal RNA (1536 nucleotides) under Triticum aestivum (bread wheat). RNAcentral describes it as "partial small subunit ribosomal RNA". Lineage: Eukaryota; Viridiplantae; Streptophyta; Magnoliopsida; Poales; Poaceae. The record is from RNAcentral.
AUGUGGGAGGGCACUCACCAACAGGAUGAUGAAGAUGAUGACGAUGAAGAUAAGCCAAUAAAAUUUCUCAUCCCAGAGUACAAGCACGAGUUCACUACAUUUGGACAGCAUGUCCAAACAGAAAACAAUGAUGUUGUUGACCAUGAUGUUGCAGAAGAUGAUGAUUAUGAUGAUGUGCCGCCACUCCAACAAUUUCAAACCAAUCCAGUGAGACAUCACCACAACACUGGAUUACCACCGCGUCCACCUGCUGCACCACAAAACAAAGCUCACUCCAAGUGCACCUGCUGCAUCAAGUUCAACACUGUGACCACCAAGGGUGCCUCGGAUAAAAACAUGCCGCCAAACCUCAUACUUGUCCCUGGAAUGAAGUUCACCUCGUACGACAAUGCAUGGGACUUUUACAACACUUAUCCAAGAUAUGCGGGGUUUGGCAUAUGCAGGAAGGCGAAACACAAAACAAAUGCCUACAUUGUCUGCACAAGAGAAGGGACGUGCAAGCAGACUGUGGCAGAUUAUGAUCGGAAACUUGGUGAAGGACAUGCAGCUGGACAAUCACACACACAGAUGAUGUCAACGCUAUCGCAUAUGUCCGAUGGUUUGCAGUUCAUGGGUCAUACUAGCCGCGACUGGGUCAACAAGAAUCAUAAGUUUGCUAGAGAAGAGUCUCAAGAUGACGCCAAGAAGCUUCUGGAUUUCUUCGAGAAGCUAGAAAAGAUCAACACAGAGUUCUUCUAUGAUUACGACGUCGAUGCAGAUAAUCGUGCUGCGCUGGCCUUUUCGGGCCGCUGCUCCGGUGGCUUUCUUGAGUGUCUCACGUUCAAUUGGGCCUACUGGCCUACUGGGCCUCAAACCCUACCGAAGGGUCUCUCCACCCCCAUCCCCGUGGCUGUUGUUCAUCCCCGUCCCUUUCGCUCUAACCUCGCCAAAGUCGCCGCUCCUGCAGUCCUUCGGCGCCAUCCAAUCUCACGCCAGACUCCCGCGGUAGGAGAGGAGAGUAUGAACGAAGUUCCUUGCAGCGGCAGCGGCAGCGACGAGGAGCCCUUUCUGUUUCCACCUCCUUUCUUUCGUGGAUGCCGUGUCUUCUUUGCCCGUCAGAGCCCAGAUCUGGCUGUGCAUCAGGAGGUUGUUCAUGUCAUCAAAAUGUGCAACCAGAAUGAAAGUGCAACUACACUGCAGCUUCUUCGAGACAGGGUAUCCUUAAAAAGAAAUGUAAGACGAAGGAGGGUAGAGGAGAUCGAGGAGGGAGGGGGCCGUUGCGAGGAGAUAGUUGGAGGUCAAGCAUUGGCAUUGGAGACAAGGAUCCGCGAGCGGGAGAGGCGACGCUGGGCCGGCCAUUUCCACUGCGUCGGCAGAAGCCAGCGGAGUGAGCUCGUCAGCGUGGCAUCGAACUAUACAAUGAAGUCAGAGUCCAGCCAGAUCGUUUGCAAGGUGUGCAUCCCCAAAUCCAUCUCCUUCUUUACUCCCUUUGAUUUCAAUUUCCAGCAAGUGCUUUUCGGCCAACUAGCAGCGAACUAUCCGUCCAAGUCAACAUGA